Molecule: ribosomal RNA, 750 nt
Filed under: uncultured bacterium
Lineage: Bacteria
Description: bacterial SSU rRNA
Rfam family: Bacterial small subunit ribosomal RNA
Source: RNAcentral
GUCGAACGGUAGAGGGGGCAACCCCUCGAGAGUGGCGAACGGGUGAGUAAUAUAUCGGAACGUGCCCAGUCGUGGGGGAUAACGUAGCGAAAGUUACGCUAAUACCGCAUACGAUCUACGGAUGAAAGCGGGGGAUCGCAAGACCUCGCGCGAUUGGAGCGGCCGAUAUCAGAUUAGGUAGUUGGUGGGGUAAAGGCUCACCAAGCCAACGAUCUGUAGCUGGUCUGAGAGGACGACCAGCCACACUGGAACUGAGACACGGUCCAGACUCCUACGGGAGGCAGCAGUGGGGAAUUUUGGACAAUGGACGCAAGUCUGAUCCAGCCAUUCCGCGUGCAGGAUGAAGGCCCUCGGGUUGUAAACUGCUUUUGUACGGAACGAAAAGGUUUCUAUUAAUACUAGGAGCUCAUGACGGUACCGUAAGAAUAAGCACCGGCUAACUACGUCCCAGCAGCCGCGGUAAUACGUAGGGUGCAAGCGUUAAUCGGAAUUACUGGGCGUAAAGCGUGCGCAGGCGGUUAUGUAAGACAGAGGUGAAAUCCCCGGGCUCAACCUGGGAACUGCCUUUGUGACUGCAUAGCUAGAGUACGGUAGAGGGGGAUGGAAUUCCGCGUGUAGCAGUGAAAUGCGUAGAUAUGCGGAGGAACACCGAUGGCGAAGGCAAUCCCCUGGACCUGUACUGACGCUCAUGCACGAAAGCGUGGGGAGCAAACAGGAUUAGAUACCCUGGUAGUCCACGCCCUAAACGAU